RNAcentral lists this ribosomal RNA (396 nucleotides) under uncultured bacterium. RNAcentral's name for it is "bacterial SSU rRNA". It matches the Rfam family "Bacterial small subunit ribosomal RNA", at positions 362 to 775 of the family's 1533-position model. The record is from RNAcentral.
UCUUGCGCAAUGGGCGAAAGCCUGACGCAGCAACGCCGCGUGGGGGAAGAAGGCCUUCGGGUUGUAAACCCCUUUCAGGAGGGAAGAAAAUGACGGUACCUCCAGAAAAAGCACCGGCUAACUACGUGCCAGCAGCCGCGGUAAUACGUAGGGUGCAAGCGUUGUCCGGAAUUAUUGGGCGUAAAGAGCUCGUAGGCGGUUUGUCGCGUCUGCUGUGAAAACCCGAGGCUCAACCUCGGGCCUGCAGUGGGUACGGGCAGACUAGAGUGCGGUAGGGGAGAUUGGAAUUCCUGGUGUAGCGGUGGAAUGCGCAGAUAUCAGGAGGAACACCGAUGGCGAAGGCAGAUCUCUGGGCCGUAACUGACGCUGAGGAGCGAAAGCAUGGGGAGCGAACAG